Molecule: ribosomal RNA, 495 nt
Filed under: uncultured bacterium
Lineage: Bacteria
Description: partial 16S ribosomal RNA
Rfam family: Bacterial small subunit ribosomal RNA
Source: RNAcentral
GACGAACGCUGGCGGCGUGCCUAAUACAUGCAAGUAGAACGCUGAAGGAGGAGCUUGCUUCUCUGGAUGAGUUGCGAACGGGUGAGUAACGCGUAGGUAACCUGCCUGGUAGCGGGGGAUAACUAUUGGAAACGAUAGCUAAUACCGCAUAAGAGUAGAUGUUGCAUGACAUUUGCUUAAAAGGUGCAAUUGCAUCACUACCAGAUGGACCUGCGUUGUAUUAGCUAGUUGGUGAGGUAACGGCUCACCAAGGCAACGAUACAUAGCCGACCUGAGAGAGGGAUCGGCCCCACUGGGACUGGGACACGGCCCAGACUCCUACGGGAGGCAGCAGUAGGGGAUCUUCGGCCAUGGACGGAAGUCUGACCGAGCAACGCCGCGUGAGUGAAGAAGGUUUUCGGAUCGUAAAGCUCUGUUGUAAGAGAAGAACGAGUGUGAGAGUGGAAAGUUCACACUGUGACGGUAUCUUACCAGAAAGGGACGGCUAACUACGUG